UACGUAGGGUGGAAGCGUUGUCCGGAAUUAUUGGGCGUAAAGAGCUCGUAGGCGGUUUGUUGCGUCGGCUGUGAAAUCCCGAGGCUCAACCUCGGGUCUGCAGUCGAUACGAGCAAACUAGAGUGUUGCAGGGGAGACUGGAAUUCCUGGUGUAGCGGUGAAAUGCGCAGAUAUCAGGAGGAGCACCGGUGGCGAAGGCGGGUCUCUGGGCAACAACUGACGCUGAGGAGCGAAAGCGUGGGGAGCGAACAGG
This 253-nucleotide ribosomal RNA is filed under the name uncultured bacterium. RNAcentral describes it as "partial 16S ribosomal RNA". It matches the Rfam family "Bacterial small subunit ribosomal RNA", at positions 524 to 776 of the family's 1533-position model. The record is from RNAcentral.